GGGAAGGCCCAGACAGCCAGGAUGUUGGCUUAGAAGCAGCCAUCAUUUAAAGAAAGCGUAAUAGCUCACUGGUCGAGUCGGCCUGCGCGGAAGAUGUAACGGGGCUAAACCAUGCACCGAAGCUGCGGCAGCGACACUGUGUGUUGUUGGGUAGGGGAGCGUUCUGUAAGCCUGUGAAGGUGUGUCGUGAGGCAUGCUGGAGGUAUCAGAAGUGCGAAUGCUGACAUAAGUAACGAUAAAGCGGGUGAAAAGCCCGCUCGCCGGAAGACCAAGGGUUCCUGUCCAACGUUAAUCGGGGCAGGGUGAGUCGACCCCUAAGGCGAGGCCGAAAGGCGUAGUCGAUGGGAAACGGGUUAAUAUUCCCGUACUUGGUGUUACUGCGAAGGGGGGACGGAGAAGGCUAUGUUGGCCGGGCGACGGUUGUCCCGGUUUAAGCGUGUAGGUGUGUGUUCCAGGUAAAUCCGGUUCACUUUAACACUGAGGCGUGACGACGAGGCACUACGGUGCUGAAGCAACAAAUGCCCUGCUUCCAGGAAAAGCCUCUAAGCAUCAGGUAACAUCAAAUCGUACCCCAAACCGACACAGGUGGUCAGGUAGAGAAUACCAAGGCGCUUGAGAGAACUCGGGUGAAGGAACUAGGCAAAAUGGUGCCGUAACUUCGGGAGAAGGCACGCUGACACGUAGGUGAAGUGAUUUACUCAUGGAGCUGAAGUCAGUCGAAGAUACCAGCUGGCUGCAACUGUUUAUUAAAAACACAGCACUGUGCAAACACGAAAGUGGACGUAUACGGUGUGACGCCUGCCCGGUGCCGGAAGGUUAAUUGAUGGGGUCAGCGCAAGCGAAGCUCCUGAUCGAAGCCCCGGUAAACGGCGGCCGUAACUAUAACGGUCCUAAGGUAGCGAAAUUCCUUGUCGGGUAAGUUCCGACCUGCACGAAUGGCGUAAUGAUGGCCAGGCUGUCUCCACCCGAGACUCAGUGAAAUUGAACUCGCUGUGAAGAUGCAGUGUACCCGCGGCAAGACGGAAAGACCCCGUGAACCUUUACUAUAGCUUGACACUGAACAUUGAGCCUUGAUGUGUAGGAUAGGUGGGAGGCUUUGAAGUGUGGACGCCAGUCUGCAUGGAGCCGACCUUGAAAUACCACCCUUUAAUGUUUGAUGUUCUAACGUGGACCCGUUACCCGGGUUGCGGACAGUGUCUGGUGGGUAGUUUGACUGGGGCGGUCUCCUCCUAAAGAGUAACGGAGGAGCACGAAGGUUGGCUAAUCCUGGUCGGACAUCAGGAGGUUAGUGCAAUGGCAUAAGCCAGCUUGACUGCGAGCGUGACGGCGCGAGCAGGUGCGAAAGCAGGUCAUAGUGAUCCGGUGGUUCUGAAUGGAAGGGCCAUCGCUCAACGGAUAAAAGGUACUCCGGGGAUAACAGGCUGAUACCGCCCAAGAGUUCAUAUCGACGGCGGUGUUUGGCACCUCGAUGUCGGCUCAUCACAUCCUGGGGCUGAAGUAGGUCCCAAGGGUAUGGCUGUUCGCCAUUUAAAGUGGUACGCGAGCUGGGUUUAGAACGUCGUGAGACAGUUCGGUCCCUAUCUGCCGUGGGCGCUGGAGAACUGAGGGGGGCUGCUCCUAGUACGAGAGGACCGGAGUGGACGCAUCACUGGUGUUCGGGUUGUCAUGCCAAUGGCACUGCCCGGUAGCUAAAUGCGGAAGAGAUAAGUGCUGAAAGCAUCUAAGCACGAAACUUGCCCCGA
This 1742-nucleotide ribosomal RNA is filed under the name Salmonella enterica. RNAcentral's name for it is "partial 23S ribosomal RNA". It matches the Rfam family "Bacterial large subunit ribosomal RNA", at positions 1077 to 2802 of the family's 2925-position model. RNAcentral also lists the same sequence under 1 other name. The record is from RNAcentral. Lineage: Bacteria; Pseudomonadati; Pseudomonadota; Gammaproteobacteria; Enterobacterales; Enterobacteriaceae.